This 309-nucleotide ribosomal RNA is filed under the name Staphylococcus aureus. Its description in RNAcentral is "partial 16S ribosomal RNA". It matches the Rfam family "Bacterial small subunit ribosomal RNA", at positions 1226 to 1533 of the family's 1533-position model. The record is from RNAcentral. Lineage: Bacteria; Bacillati; Bacillota; Bacilli; Caryophanales; Staphylococcaceae.
UACAAUGGACAAUACAAAGGGCAGCGAAACCGUGAGGUCAAGCAAAUCCCAUAAAGUUGUUCUCAGUUCGGAUUGUAGUCUGCAACUCGACUACAUGAAGCUGGAAUCGCUAGUAAUCGUAGAUCAGCAUGCUACGGUGAAUACGUUCCCGGGUCUUGUACACACCGCCCGUCACACCACGAGAGUUUGUAACACCCGAAGCCGGUGGAGUAACCUUUUAGGAGCUAGCCGUCGAAGGUGGGACAAAUGAUUGGGGUGAAGUCGUAACAAGGUAGCCGUAUCGGAAGGUGCGGCUGGAUCACCUCCUUU